UACGUAGGGUGCGAGCGUUAAUCGGAAUUACUGGGCGUAAAGCGUGCGCAGGCGGUGAUGUAAGACCGAUGUGAAAUCCCCGGGCUUAACCUGGGAACUGCAUUGGUGACUGCAUCGCUCGAGUAUGGCAGAGGGGGGUAGAAUUCCACGUGUAGCAGUGAAAUGCGUAGAGAUGUGGAGGAACACCGAUGGCGAAGGCAGCCCCCUGGGCCAAUACUGACGCUCAUGCACGAAAGCGUGGGGAGCAAACAGG
RNAcentral lists this ribosomal RNA (253 nucleotides) under uncultured bacterium. Its description in RNAcentral is "partial 16S ribosomal RNA". It matches the Rfam family "Bacterial small subunit ribosomal RNA", at positions 524 to 776 of the family's 1533-position model. The record is from RNAcentral.